UACGUAGGGGGCAAGCGUUGUCCGGAUUCAUUGGGCGUAAAGAGCGUGUAGGCGGCCAGGUAGGUCGGUUGUGAAAACUGGAGGCUCAACCUUCAGACGUCGACCGAAACCAUCUGGCUAGAGUCCGGGAGAGGAGAGUGGAAUUCCUGGUGUAGCGGUGAAAUGCGCAGAUAUCAGGAGGAACACCGGUGGCGAAGGCGGGACUCUGGGCCGGAUACUGACGCUGAGGAGCGAAAGCGUGGGGAGCAAACAGG
RNAcentral lists this ribosomal RNA (254 nucleotides) under uncultured bacterium. RNAcentral's name for it is "partial 16S ribosomal RNA". It matches the Rfam family "Bacterial small subunit ribosomal RNA", at positions 524 to 776 of the family's 1533-position model. The record is from RNAcentral.